Molecule: small nuclear RNA, 109 nt
Organism: Psammomys obesus (fat sand rat)
Lineage: Eukaryota; Metazoa; Chordata; Mammalia; Rodentia; Muridae
Source: RefSeq, a predicted model, not a curated record
GUGCUCACUUCGGCAGCACAUAUAUUAAAAUUGGAAUGAUACAGAGAAGAUUAGCAUGGCCCCUGACAUAGUGAAUGGGCCACAAUGAGUUAAAAUGACCCACGGCUCA